CAGAAAACGCUGAUCAAAUAAGGAUCAGGAAUAAACAAAGAAGGAAAUCAACUGAAAACGCUUGCGGAAAACAAAACGCGAGGAGGGCCUGAAUUGGCGAAGAAAAAUACAACAAUUCACAAUUUAGAGCAUUAACGCGUAUAUCGAAAGUAACGGCCGUAAGGCAAGAAGGCAAAGAGUCAAUUGUAAUAGCGAAAAUGGAGCACGAGAGAAAUAUGGCGCGGCGUGGAAUUCUCCGGCAGAGAAUGAGCUGCCAGAGCCACUUGAUAAAGGCCUGAUAAUCACCCUGGAAUUAAGAACAGGUGUGCAGUAGGCAGAGGGAAAAACCCGCCACCUGCUGGCAGGCACGGAACGUGACAGUCCUUGAACCCUCAUAUGUUUUGCCGACAAGAAAGGUCUGUGUGGAAGUUCCAUAAAGUAGUAGAUGAAUCCCAUAUAAUGUUUGCUUUUGGUUUUGUUUUCAGACCAUCAAGAAAAUGGUGGCCGAAAAAUACAUGGAGGAACGGGAAAAAGUGAAAAUGGAAGUACAGCAAGCUGUGGCAGUGGCCUGUGGAGUCAUCUGGAUGAUGAGGUGGGGAGACUGGGAAGAGGUGGUGCAAACACAGUAUCUGAGGUCCAGCGGUACCUGGCACAAGAGAAUAUUGCACGUGACCAGGACCCGCUGUUGUACUAGAAGGACCAACACACUUCUUUCCCAAACCUCUCCCACCUCGCAAAGGAGUUCCUUUGUACGCCAGCCUCAUCCGUCCCUUGUGAGCGUGUGUUCUCCACAGCAGGAGAAAUCGCUUGUAAAAGACGCAACAGGCUGAAGUUUAAAACAUUGGAGCAUCUUAUUUUUCUCAAUAAAAAUUUGUGAAAUAAAA
Molecule: long non-coding RNA, 863 nt
Organism: Hippocampus zosterae (dwarf seahorse)
Lineage: Eukaryota; Metazoa; Chordata; Actinopteri; Syngnathiformes; Syngnathidae
Exons: 2
Source: RefSeq, a predicted model, not a curated record